AUGGCCAGUGCAAGGAGGAGAACAACCUUCUUCUUAAUGAGUGAAAGCAAGUUUUUAUGGGACAUAAAGCCUGCCUACAUGCAUUUUGAGUGUGUUUGCCCCCACAUCACUCCCAAGCUUACUAAUUUGAUCAACGUUACGUCCCGCAUACCAUUAACCAAAUUCAAGCUUGUGGAAAACCAGUCCCUCACAAUUUCAAGUGUGGCAGGCAGGACCAGUUCUGAGAUUUUAUGCCCUUGCUUGUCAUACUGA
This 252-nucleotide long non-coding RNA is filed under the name Prunus dulcis (almond). RNAcentral describes it as "sRNA ncRNA". The record is from RNAcentral. Lineage: Eukaryota; Viridiplantae; Streptophyta; Magnoliopsida; Rosales; Rosaceae.